UACGAAGGGGGCUAGCGUUGCUCGGAAUCACUGGGCGUAAAGCGCACGUAGGCGGAUUGUUAAGUCAGGGGUGAAAUCCUGGAGCUCAACUCCAGAACUGCCUUUGAUACUGGCGAUCUCGAGUCCGGGAGAGGUGAGUGGAACUGCGAGUGUAGAGGUGAAAUUCGUAGAUAUUCGCAAGAACACCAGUGGCGAAGGUGGCUCACUGGCCCGGUACUGACGCUGAGGUGCGAAAGCGUGGGGAGCAAACAGG
This 253-nucleotide ribosomal RNA is filed under the name uncultured bacterium. RNAcentral's name for it is "partial 16S ribosomal RNA". It matches the Rfam family "Bacterial small subunit ribosomal RNA", at positions 524 to 776 of the family's 1533-position model. The record is from RNAcentral.